Molecule: long non-coding RNA, 1049 nt
Filed under: Cricetulus griseus (Chinese hamster)
Lineage: Eukaryota; Metazoa; Chordata; Mammalia; Rodentia; Cricetidae
Description: lncRNA (ENSCGRG00015033142.1)
Source: RNAcentral
AUGUGGUAUAUGUGUUUGUGUACCAGGUCAUGUGUACUCAUGGGUGUGUUAUGUGUAACAUUCUUCUCUGUAUAUGUUUCUCUUAUUGGUUAAUGAAUAAAACACUGGUUGGCUAAUUAGCCAGAUAGGAAGUGACAUAGCUGGGCAGAAACUUGCCACUAGCUAAUCAUAGAAGUCAGGAGGUCUGUACUGAUAAACAGGAAGUGGCAUAUCUGGGCAUAAUCAGUAUAUAAGCAGGGACAAAGAGGAAAUCACUCUCUUCUCUGUGGAGACUGAGCAGUCAUCAUGUAGCAGGCAAAGGAGUUGCAGGUCCAGCAUACCCUGGUGUUUUGCCUGCAUGUAUAUCUGUGCACCAGAAGCAUGCAAUGCCCUUGGAAGUCAGAGGAGGGCAUCAUAUCCCCUGGAACUAGAGUUACAGAUGGUUGUGAGUCGCCAUGGCUAGGAAUUGAACCCAGGGCCUUGUUCAUACUAGGAAAGAACUCCACCACUGUUGUUCGUAACUCCAGCUUCAGGAGGUCUGGCACCCUAUACUCACCUCCAUGGACAUCUGUACACACGUGACAUGCACGAAUACAUACAUAUAAAUAAAAAUAAAAAAUAAAUUGAAAAGAAGAGAAUUCUGUGGCCAGUGUGCUCUCUCCAUUGGAACUAUAAUAUCCUGUGGAAUCUCCUGAGACUGUACAAGUGGUUGUUUUGCUUUGCCUUCACACCAUUAGAGACAAUCAUGAAGCCAGAAGAGUGACUCACAGCUAACAAAUUAUGACAUGGAAUGAACAAAUAUCUGAUUGCUUAACCAGAGUUGGAAUAGACAUUAUGCUAAGACAUUGAUUCCAGUUGUGUGUGAAUAUGUGUGUCCACAUGUACCCAUGCAUGUAUGCACGUGUGGAAUGAAUUAACAUGAAAAUCAUACAUCUGACAUUUUAUAGUUUUCAAACUUACAAAUAAAUUUGGAAAAACAUUGAUCUGAAGUGUUGUGUCUUCCCUGAAAUGAAUGAUUAUUCCAUGGGUUAAAUGAACUAGCCAAGCCUGAUUUCUAUUUCCCAUCCUAG